UUGCUAUAUAAAGAGCAGGACAGUAUUUUGACCAAGAGCUAGUAUUUGGAUCUUUGAUCAGAGAUCUAGAAGAUCUUGAGACAAGUGGCAUCACACUCCCUGAUGGUAAAACCUACAAAAGGAACUCUGUGCCAUUGCAGGAUGUUAAACCUGGGCCUGAACCAGGGCCGUUCUCGUCACGUGGAGGAGUUCAUCGUGCCUCAUGAUUGCUGUUGUCCCCAGAAAUCUGGGUUCAUAUAAUGAUUCCGAUUUGGGGAUUACUUGUAGUUGCGUGUGUGUGUGUGUUUUCCAGGUAGGAUUGGGACCCGGAGCUCCACCCCCCUCGUCAGUGGUUGCAGCUGGCUGGGCUCUUUAAAAAGCCCAGUUUUGGACCAGCUCUGGCGCUGCAUGCUCGCUGCAUAUGCUGUUAUGUUGUCUUUGGUUUGUACCCUGUGUGAGGAUAUAUUCAAUUGCGAUAGUGUUAAAUAACUUGUGUUCCUUUUGGAAUGUGUAGCAGCAGGAGGGAGCAAUUGUUUGUUUGUGUCAUUUGACUAAUUAUUUGUUUCCUCUUUUGUUCACAGGGAGUGGGGAGUAGAUUUAGAGCCACCCCGGAGUAUACAUCACCCGUAGGUUUACUUCUCUGUCUAGAAACACCAGUUUAGACCUGAGAGGACCACCACCUGUACGUUUGGGUAGAGAUUGUGUUUUCAAUAGGGGGUUAGUACAGGUUAGGGGUGGGGACCUUUUUGUUUAUUUCUUUGUUUUGGUCCGGACAGCCCUCCCCUUUUCCCAGAAAGAUAUUGUUUAUUUAUGUGUAUUUAUUUUAGUAAUUUGUAAAAGCGUUAUACUGUAUUUGGUGUUUGUCCUUUUCUCGCACCGUGACUCCAUACCCCUUUUGCUGGCACCGGUGGGCCGGAGCAGUGGGUUGUCAUGUUCCCCUCCCUUUUGGGAGCUGGAACGUAACAAUUGGGGGCUCGUCCGGGAUCUUGGCACCCCGCUGCUCGGACCACCCUGUGGUUGGUGAUUGGGGUGCGGUGUUGGGGUGAGAGUAAGGUAGUUUUUUUUUGUCUUGCCUGGUAGUUGUUGUUCUGUCCUUUAGUUUGUAGUAUUGGUAGUUGUAGUGUUCGUUGUGCACUGAAUAGUGCAGGGUUGUGGUGUGAGCAUGGCAACUUCUUCGGAUGUGGCAGGCUUUAUUUCGGAGCCCUCGUUGGGUUUACUGUUUAACCUGCGUAAGGUGGAUUUGUUAGCGCUAGCGGACCACUACAAUCUUACAGUUGAAAAACAGGCUCGUAAAGAGAAGUUGGUAAUGGUGAUCAAAAGCUAUUUAUUGAGUGUCUAGGGCAGGAGUUAUGGCUGUGGAGGAUGUGGAAACAGAGGAUGAGAAGGAUGAGGGCCCUGUAGAGAAUCUCUCGCCAGCAAGGCCAAAGGGCAGUGUUUGAGAUGGGGAAGCUCCAGUGCCUCAAACUCUGCCAAAGUAUGCACGGUCGUCUCCCGAGUUCUCAGAGUCUGUAGAGGUUGCUCGGCUAAAGUUGAAAACAGCCCGGCUGGAAGCAGACCAAAAAAACAGGGAAGACAAAAGGAGGUAUGAGAUAGAAAUGAGAAAAAUAGAGGCAGGCAAGGAGGCUCGUAUUCACAUUCAACGAAUGGAGCUUGAUGCAGAGAGAUCUUCUCACCCAGUGGGUAAGACCGGCCAUUUUGAUGUGGGAAGGAAUAUUGCGGUGGUUCCCCCAUUUCGUGAGUCUGAGGUAGACUCUUAUUUCUCUGCCUUUGAGUGGGUAGCUGCUGCUCUGCAGUGGCCCAAAUAUGUCUGGCCUCUACUCUUGCAAUGUAAGCUAACUGGGAAGGCCCAGGAGGUCAUGGCCUCUCUAUAGAAGACAGUUUACAUUAUGAUGUGGUCAAAGCCACCGUGCUGCGUGCCUAUGAGCUAAGCUUAUAGACAACGCUUUAGAAAUUACUAGGAGUUUGCUAGGGACAAAGAGUCGUUGUUUGACCGCUGGUGUGCAGCCAAUAAAACAUCUACUUAUGAGGCUUUGAGAAAUCAGAUUUUGCUGAGGAUAAGAACCACUUACCUGAAAGAAUUGUGAUGCAUCUUAGUGAAAACAAAGAGGCGACGUUGAGUCAGGCAGCCGUCCAGGCCGAUGAAUAUGCCUACAGCGUCCAGUCAGAGCAGGACAUCUGUUUCACCCGCAGCUGGUGCAUCACGCUCUUCAGACCCUCCUACUGUUCCCAGGAAAGAGGACAGGGAAUGUUUUUAUUGCCACCGGAAAGGCCAUUUAAUCACAGAUUGUCUCUUACUCAUGAACAAGAAGUCACCCCCGCUGUCCCGUAAGAGUGUUGGUUUAACUCAGUCUGUUUCUUACCAGCAAGCUACAAGUGCUAGCGAGGCUCUUGCAGGAAAACCAGACCUGGUGUAUGCUCCGUUUGUGUCUGUCGGGAGUGUUUCAUGCACAGGGAGAACUGAAGACCAAAGAGAAAUUAAAAUCCUACGUGACACUGGUGCAGCUCAGUCAGUUAUCCUUGCAGAUGUGUUGCCCUGGUCUGACCAGACAUACUGUGGUUCACACAUCCUUUUGUGUGGCAUUGAAGCCAACCCAAUUUCUGUGCCUUUACACUGGGUUCAUAUGCAUUCUGAUUUAGUUUCAGGUUGGUUCCGUGUUGGGGUGGUGCCUACGCUAGCAGUGGAAGGGGUAGCACUAUUACUAGGAAACAACAUUGCUGGAGGUAAGGUGUCUCCAGUACCAGAAGUAACAGACAGGCCACAACCUAAUGGUUCUGACAUUGUCUUGGUUCAAAAAUACCCUCAAGUGUUCCCUGGAUGUGUUUUAACAAGGGCACAAGCUCGCACGCAGGGGGAUACAGUGAAUUUGUCAACUAUUUUUGAACAGGUUGAAACUGUAGAGGUAGAGCCUAAAGCAGAUAAAUUACCUUAUGUGCAGGCUGUGAAAAGGGGAUGCGGAGUCAAUCCCCAGUUGUGUGAUG
Gasterosteus aculeatus aculeatus (three-spined stickleback) is the source of this 2958-nucleotide long non-coding RNA. NCBI's taxonomy places the organism in Eukaryota, Metazoa, Chordata, Actinopteri, Perciformes, Gasterosteidae. The record is from Ensembl.